RNAcentral lists this unclassified non-coding RNA (250 nucleotides) under plant metagenome. RNAcentral's name for it is "partial contains small subunit ribosomal RNA, internal transcribed spacer 1, and 5.8S ribosomal RNA". The record is from RNAcentral.
GUAGGUGAACCUGCGGAAGGAUCAUCACUGAUUCUCGGGGAUGGGGUGAUGUGUGUGUUCGUCGCGCAUCUCCCCGCCCCAACCAAUCUUGUGUGCACCGUUUCUCACCGAUCAAGGAGAGCAAUCAAUAAUGCGCGUGUGACAUGUGUGUGUUGGCAAGGGAGGGAGGGAGCCUUACCACACUCUACUCUCUCUUGCCAACCGCACGCACCCUGUCGCUCGUGUUUUUUUCUCUCUAUUUAAAAUCUCU